Long non-coding RNA from Sycon ciliatum, 756 nucleotides. RefSeq lists it as uncharacterized. The transcript has 3 exons. NCBI's taxonomy places the organism in Eukaryota, Metazoa, Porifera, Calcarea, Leucosolenida, Sycettidae. The record is from RefSeq and is a predicted model, not a curated record.
CUCCACCAAGGCUACAUCUGAAGCCAACCGCUGUUCCGUCCCUCAGACUUUGGCCACACCAUCCACCUCCGCCGAAACGCCGGAAGUCUACUUACCAACAGAAAAGGGAAGCAAAUAAGAUAUCGCCUCAAGCAGACAAGCAGCCGUCAAUUUCUCAACAUCGAGUUCAGCCCCCCAUAGCCUCUGCAACUGUCACAGCCACGGAAUACCCAACUAUUGAGCUACAAGACCAUGAUAGCAUUACCAAGACGGCGUAUGCAGUGAGCAGUGCCAAGGUGGGCAUGAUGGGAGCUGAGUCAGGGAAGAAGAGGGUGGUCUCGGGGAAACAGUCACUGGCAUCAACACUCUCCAACCAUCUACUCCCACCAAAGCGGCACCUGGUGUCCAAGUAUCUAGCACAGAGACUAUAAUAUCGAACUUAUCAGAGUAUGUGCCAGGCACUGAAAGUUCCGACUCCCACAGCGAAUCUGAUAGCUCUCCUCCAGCCAGUGACACAUCACCUGAAGACAUGUACUUUGUCUGUGAGUCGUCCCUCUUUACGCUAAUGAAGUAUUGCCCCAAGUGCGGAGGGAAAGUUAUCAGUCAAAGCAAAACCGUAGUUGGUCCCAUGCUAGUGGUGAAGAUGAUAUGUGAGCAGGGCUGUGUCGUCAUUUGGCGGUCGCACACCACCACGGGGAGUCAACGACAGUCACUGUGUGAGUACAUGUAUUUCUGGUAUUUUCUGGCUUCCAUUUCUCUUAAGUUAAAUCACCAUUU